CAGUCGCCACGGUAAUACGUAGGGUGCAAGCGUUAAUCGGAAUUACGGGGCGUAAAGCGUGCGCAGGCGGCUAUUCAAGACAGAUGUGAAAUCCCCGGGCUCAACCUGGGAACUGCAUUUGUGACUGGAUGACCAGAGUACGGCAGAGGGGGAUGGAAUUCCGCGUGUAGCAGUGAAAUGCGUAGAUAUGCGGAGGAACACCGAUGGCGAAGGCAAUCCCCUGGGCCUGUACUGACGCUCAUGCGCGAAAGCGUGGGGAGCAAACAGGAUUAGAUACCCGAGUAGUCCCUGUCUCUUAUAU
RNAcentral lists this ribosomal RNA (301 nucleotides) under uncultured bacterium. RNAcentral describes it as "partial 16S ribosomal RNA". It matches the Rfam family "Bacterial small subunit ribosomal RNA", at positions 509 to 809 of the family's 1533-position model. The record is from RNAcentral.